RNAcentral lists this ribosomal RNA (469 nucleotides) under uncultured bacterium. RNAcentral's name for it is "bacterial SSU rRNA". It matches the Rfam family "Bacterial small subunit ribosomal RNA", at positions 28 to 507 of the family's 1533-position model. The record is from RNAcentral.
GAUGAACGCUGGCGGCGUGCUUAACACAUGCAAGUCGAACGGAUUUAACAGAAAGCUUGCUUUCGGUUAAAUUAGUGGCGGACGGGUGAGUAACGCGUGGAUAACCUGCCGUAUACAGGGGGAUAACACUUAGAAAUAGGUGCUAAUACCGCAUAAGCGCACAGUUUCGCAUGAGACAGUGUGAAAAACUCCGGUGGUAUACGAUGGAUCCGCGUCUGAUUAGGUAGUUGGUGGGGUAACGGCCUACCAAGUCGACGAUCAGUAGCCGGACUGAGAGGUUGAACGGCCACAUUGGGACUGAGACACGGCCCAGACUCCUACGGGAGGCAGCAGUGGGGAAUAUUGCACAAUGGGCGCAAGCCUGAUGCAGCAAACGCCGCGUGAGGGAAGACGGUCUUCGGAUUGUAAACCUCUGUCCUUGGUGAAGAAAUUGACGGUACACACAGAAUAAGCCACGGCUAACUACGUG